Molecule: ribosomal RNA, 661 nt
Filed under: Klebsiella quasipneumoniae subsp. similipneumoniae
Lineage: Bacteria; Pseudomonadati; Pseudomonadota; Gammaproteobacteria; Enterobacterales; Enterobacteriaceae
Also listed under: 2 other names
Description: bacterial SSU rRNA
Rfam family: Bacterial small subunit ribosomal RNA
Source: RNAcentral
CCUGGGGAGUACGGCCGCAAGGUUAAAACUCAAAUGAAUUGACGGGGGCCCGCACAAGCGGUGGAGCAUGUGGUUUAAUUCGAUGCAACGCGAAGAACCUUACCUGGUCUUGACAUCCACAGAACUUGCCAGAGAUGGCUUGGUGCCUUCGGGAACUGUGAGACAGGUGCUGCAUGGCUGUCGUCAGCUCGUGUUGUGAAAUGUUGGGUUAAGUCCCGCAACGAGCGCAACCCUUAUCCUUUGUUGCCAGCGGUUAGGCCGGGAACUCAAAGGAGACUGCCAGUGAUAAACUGGAGGAAGGUGGGGAUGACGUCAAGUCAUCAUGGCCCUUACGACCAGGGCUACACACGUGCUACAAUGGCAUAUACAAAGAGAAGCGACCUCGCGAGAGCAAGCGGACCUCAUAAAGUAUGUCGUAGUCCGGAUUGGAGUCUGCAACUCGACUCCAUGAAGUCGGAAUCGCUAGUAAUCGUAGAUCAGAAUGCUACGGUGAAUACGUUCCCGGGCCUUGUACACACCGCCCGUCACACCAUGGGAGUGGGUUGCAAAAGAAGUAGGUAGCUUAACCUUCGGGAGGGCGCUUACCACUUUGUGAUUCAUGACUGGGGUGAAGUCGUAACAAGGUAACCGUAGGGGAACCUGCGGUUGGAUCACCUCCUUA